AGCUCAAUGGUGAGCAAGUACUUACACGCGCCUAUUUUUUUUUUUUUUUUUUUUUUAAGGUUAAAUGUUAGUAGUAUUUGUCCCAUCAAUUUAGCAAAUUUUCAAAAAUAUCCGAUAAAAUGAUACCAAUCUAUCAAAAAAAUAUUGUUUGUCUUCAUUAAAAAUUUCCAACUCCCAAAAAAUGGACAUGAAUAACCGGAAUUCCUACAUGACUUGCCUACGUGGAUUGAAAAGAAAAAAGAAAAAAGAAAAAAAAAAUGAAAAAUGAAAAAUACAUGUAUAAUUAAGGGUAAAUAUCAUAUUAAACCUUGAAUUAUACCCGCUUUAUCAAAAAUACACUGGAACUUUUGAAAUGCUUUCUAAACCCUCAAAGUAUCAUGAUUUUAUCAAAUAUAUCACGCAUCUUUUUUUUUUCCGGCCAUCAGAAAUGUGACGUGACUCGCCGGAUG
Molecule: long non-coding RNA, 449 nt
Filed under: Salvia miltiorrhiza (redroot sage)
Lineage: Eukaryota; Viridiplantae; Streptophyta; Magnoliopsida; Lamiales; Lamiaceae
Description: long non-coding RNA (SMIL_LNC013948)
Source: RNAcentral